This is a non-coding RNA of Equus caballus (horse), 766 nucleotides long. The record is from RefSeq and is a predicted model, not a curated record. NCBI's taxonomy places the organism in Eukaryota, Metazoa, Chordata, Mammalia, Perissodactyla, Equidae.
CAUCACCAGUUGCGGUGUUCUGAGCAGAAAGGGAAAGGGCAAGCCAAAUUGUGUUGUUUAAUGCUGAUUGACUUUGAAAUUUCUUUUGAAACAAAACUUGCUUUUGGUGAAGACCUAAUCUGACAUGAGUGCAGAGAAAAUGAAGAAGUAGCAGCAUUAUUACUAUCAUCCAAUCUUUAUUAAAAGCACACUAUGAAAAAAUCUGUUCUGAAGAGAAUAGGAACUGCUCUGACAUUUAAGCAAUUUUCAAACAUCCAGAACCAUUCAGAGUCAUAGUUAAAGGCACAUUUGUGAAGAGUGAGAACUGAGCCAAGAUGUUCAGCCUGACUCUGCUCCUGUCUCCUGGACCCAGAUGCCCGUCUUUUAGCUCUUCAGUGGAAAGAAAAAUCCUCAUUUGCUACAAUAUCCAGGAAUGCGUAUUGGCUUAUAAGCUUUCAGAAGGCUGGGGUUUGUUUUUUUUUUUUCAUAUAGUAGGUAAUAUAUCCUUAGGACUUCUAGGAAGGGCUUUGAUGUUCAUCUAGUAUAACUUUUUCAUUUAACACAUAGACACUAGAGAGCUGGAGCAUGAACUAAUGUCUACAAACCCAAGUUCCAUAGAAUCUAUCUUAUCUAAAUUAGCAUUAAGCUAUAACGUCAUCAUAAGUUAGAGUAUAGUAGCAUGUUCCAUGACUGUGAAAACAUGUAUUCACAAAGAGGAAUCUUCUACUUGAAAAUGUAUGUGAGAGCAAGAUAUUUGAAAGAAGAGCAAAGAGUAAAUAAACAAAAU